CUCCAGCGCAACUCCUGCUGCAUAUCUUACUUUCAUCGUAGUUAAUCCUGCACACUUAUCUCAACAUAUAGAUUAGAUAACAAAUGACAAUUGACUUCAUCAUCAAAAUCCUAGAUUCAACACUUUUAUUAAAGAUAUGAAAUUCUUUAGAAAUAGAAGAAUAGUAAAAAAAAAUUCCUUCAUCGGAUUUAGCAUCAAAUUUUCC
RNAcentral lists this long non-coding RNA (205 nucleotides) under Musa acuminata (dwarf banana). RNAcentral's name for it is "long non-coding RNA (MACU_LNC002638)". The record is from RNAcentral. Lineage: Eukaryota; Viridiplantae; Streptophyta; Magnoliopsida; Zingiberales; Musaceae.